Molecule: ribosomal RNA, 253 nt
Filed under: uncultured bacterium
Lineage: Bacteria
Description: partial 16S ribosomal RNA
Rfam family: Bacterial small subunit ribosomal RNA
Source: RNAcentral
UACGUAGGGCGCAAGCGUUGUCCGGAAUUAUUGGGCGUAAAGAGCUCGUAGGCGGUUUGUCGCGUCUGCUGUGAAAACCUAAGGCUCAACCUUGGGCUUGCAGUGGGUACGGGCAGACUAGAGUGCGGUAGGGGUGACUGGAAUUCCUGGUGUAGCGGUGGAAUGCGCAGAUAUCAGGAGGAACACCGAUGGCGAAGGCAGUUAACUAUUCGGUUCCUGACGUUGAGGCACGAAAGCGUGGGGAGCAAGACGG